RNAcentral lists this long non-coding RNA (853 nucleotides) under Mus musculus (house mouse). RNAcentral describes it as "predicted gene, 41793". Lineage: Eukaryota; Metazoa; Chordata; Mammalia; Rodentia; Muridae. The record is from RNAcentral.
AUAACUGAAGCGCUGUCUUCAGGCCGCAGAGGAAAUUGCCUGUGAUGUAUAGAUGAAAAUGAAAAACGGGCUCCUAACCAGGACAUUAUGAAUGCCUGUGAUGAAUCUGAGUCUGGGCACAGUAGAGCCCUUUCAGACUUCAGGGCAAUUGAAAUGUCAAAUAAUUCCUCAAGUAUAAUGUGCAGCUUGUUAAUCCCCGAGAGAGUCUUAAUGCUCUUUGUGUGCGGGGGCAGAUGGAAUUGGGGCAAAGUGAUGGGAAGAAGAGAAUGCUUGCCCAGAGCACGUCCUCUCCUAGUGAUCCUGCCCACGGUGCUGCCCAGGCUCAACACCGGAGGAAUCAUGGAUACACGCAUCCGUUCACUAGUGGAUUCCAAGAGCAAUGGCCACGAAAGGAUGUGCAAGGUCAAGGGCUGGAAAUCGUCUACCAAUGCGGCAAUCAGCAAGACAGAACUCUUUGAGCAUGGAAGUGAAAAGGACAGGCUGAGGCUUGAGACUGGACACCCUACCAGCAGAACAGGAGAUGGAACACGGACAGUAACGAGUGGUAAGGGUUUAAAAGAGGAGAAGAAAGGAGUGAAGGGUGUUGUAAUGGCUACUCCUGGUUGUCCACUUGACUACAUCUAUAAUGAACUACAAUCCAGAAAUGGAGGGCACACUUGUGAUCUGGAUCUUGUGGCUGGAAGACACAGGUUUCUGACUUGGCUCUUGAGAUGGAUAUCUUGAGGCAAAGUAGCCAAGAAAAUUUUAGGCCCCCGGGAGAGGUAGUGCAUGCCUUUAAUCCCAGGAGACUGAGGAAGCAGAUCUCUGAGUUCAAGGUUAGCCUGGGACAGAGCAAGUUCCAGAUUCAGGCAUG